Molecule: non-coding RNA, 138 nt
Organism: Ornithorhynchus anatinus (platypus)
Lineage: Eukaryota; Metazoa; Chordata; Mammalia; Monotremata; Ornithorhynchidae
Source: Rfam
CUCCUUUCAGGCUUGCACUUGGAGAGUUUCCAGUACUCUACCAGUCUUGGCUAUGGGAGGGAGAGUCAGGCAGAGGCCCGUCCAUUCCAUUCCUAGCUUGGCCAGUGGCUAGUGAGUGGAAGGCAAUCUUCUUCAAGU